Molecule: ribosomal RNA, 117 nt
Filed under: Deltaproteobacteria bacterium
Lineage: Bacteria; Pseudomonadati; Myxococcota; Myxococcia
Source: RNAcentral
GCCGGUGACGAUAGCGCAGAGGACCCACCCGUUCCCAUCCCGAACACGGAAGUUAAGCUCUGCCACGCCGAUGGUACUGCCGGGGUGACCCGGUGGGAGAGUAGGUAAUCGCCGGCC